GCACCCGUGGCCUAAUGG
This 18-nucleotide non-coding RNA is filed under the name Arabidopsis thaliana (thale cress). Lineage: Eukaryota; Viridiplantae; Streptophyta; Magnoliopsida; Brassicales; Brassicaceae. The record is from RNAcentral.